ACUAGGUACAAACCCGUGCGUACGCACGGGACGCGCCUUCGGCGCGUUAUAUUGCGUCGGUUUCUUAGGUCGUAAGUGUGGUACGGCGCGUUGCACGCGCCUUCGGCGCGUUACGUAGUUGAUUUCAACGAUAUAAUUUUUUGAUAAAUAGAACAAUUAAUUGGAUUUCAGCCUUGUCUUUAUAAAUAAUGGAGAUAAUUUUUGUUUGCC
Molecule: long non-coding RNA, 210 nt
Filed under: Trifolium pratense (red clover)
Lineage: Eukaryota; Viridiplantae; Streptophyta; Magnoliopsida; Fabales; Fabaceae
Description: long non-coding RNA (TPRA_LNC012729)
Source: RNAcentral